GGACCUGAAGUGUAAGACCAUGUUCAUCUCAGACAAACAGCUGGAGAACAUUCUUUCCAAUCAUUACUGCUACUUCUUUCCUGCUGUGGCAUCCCAUAAUAGCCUUUGGAGAAGACAGACAUUAGGAACAAUGUAUUCAAAGGAACUAUAAAGCCACUGUAUUUAGGACUGCUUACCUCCCAGGCUGAUGACAGAAUACCACAUUAAAGCAAAGUCGUUGUUACCUCUAUGAAGCAGGUUACCAUCUUUAAGUCUCAGAUGGAAAGCCCAACACAUAAAAAGGAAAAUGAUUCCAUCAUUUCUAAAAGCAAUCAUUUCUGAAGGCAGAAUUAGAACAGAUCUGAUGUCUGGCCAGUGCUCUCUCCUCCAAACUGGAAAUUAUGAAGAAAUCCAGGCUACAAUCCAGUUAAAGGGAUAGUCAUAGAGGCACAGAUGAUUAAAGCUGGAAGAACUUCAGCGCCCAUCUUAUUCAGGCACCUUGUUUUAAGAGGAAGAUCCUGAGACCCAAUGGGUUUAAAAGAGUAUCUUGGCUAACAUCACACACCACCUAGUUAGAGAUUGGGGGGUGCAAAAACUCAGAUCCAUUUGCAAGUAUUUCUCUUUGAUAAUAUAAGUGCCCUGAAUUGAAAGGAAACUUCUUGAGUAUUCCAAGAACACAUUUGCAUAGUCUCAGUUAUUGGAUUAAGAAAUUUAAUCCAUAAUCUUUGACUGUAUCUUUUAGAUAUGCAUUAUGGUUACAAAAAAAGUUUUGCCUGGGAAACUGGAUAACCAUGUGCAGGAAAACAAAAUUGGACCCCUAUUUUACACCACUACAAAAAUUAACUUGAAAUGGAUUAAAGAUUUAAGUAUAAGACCUGAAA
Molecule: long non-coding RNA, 860 nt
Organism: Hyaena hyaena (striped hyena)
Lineage: Eukaryota; Metazoa; Chordata; Mammalia; Carnivora; Hyaenidae
Exons: 3
Source: RefSeq, a predicted model, not a curated record